AGUCGAACGGAAUCUUCGGAUUCAGUGGCGGACGGGUGAGUAACACGUGGGAAUCUACUGAGUAGUGGGGGACAGCCCGGCGAAAGCCGGAUUAAUACCGCAUACGCCCUACGGGGGAAAGGCGCAAGCCGCUAUUUAAUGAGCCCGCGUAAGAUUAGCUAGUUGGUAAGGUAAAGGCUUACCAAGGCGACGAUCUUUAGCUGGUCUGAGGGGAUGGCCAGCCACAUCGGGACUGAGACACGGCCCGGACUCCUACGGGAGGCAGCAGUCGGGAAUAUUGGACAAUGGGCGCAAGCCUGAUCCAGCAAUACCGCGUGUGUGAAGAAGGCCUGCGGGUUGUAAAGCACUUUCAGUUGGGAAGAUAAUGACGUUACCAACAGAAGAAGCACCGGCUAACUCCGUGCCAGCAGCCGCGGUAAUACGGAGGGUGCAAGCGUUGAUCGGAAUUACUGGGCGUAAAGCGUGCGUAGGCGGUUUAUUAAGUCAGAUGUGAAAUCCCCGGGCUCAACCUGGGAACUGCAUCUGAUACUGGUAGACUAGAGUGUGGGAGAGGAGAGUGGAAUUUCCGGUGUAGAGGUGAAAUUCGUAGAUAUCGAGAGGAACACCGGUGGCGAAGGCGGCCAACUGGACGAAUACUGACGCUGAGACACGAAAGCGUGGGGAGCAAACAGGAUUAGAUACCCUGGUAGUCCACGCCGUA
This 700-nucleotide ribosomal RNA is filed under the name uncultured Thiothrix sp. Its description in RNAcentral is "bacterial SSU rRNA". It matches the Rfam family "Bacterial small subunit ribosomal RNA", at positions 60 to 804 of the family's 1533-position model. The record is from RNAcentral. Lineage: Bacteria; Pseudomonadati; Pseudomonadota; Gammaproteobacteria; Thiotrichales; Thiotrichaceae.